Molecule: ribosomal RNA, 1186 nt
Filed under: Vreelandella aquamarina
Lineage: Bacteria; Pseudomonadati; Pseudomonadota; Gammaproteobacteria; Oceanospirillales; Halomonadaceae
Description: bacterial SSU rRNA
Rfam family: Bacterial small subunit ribosomal RNA
Source: RNAcentral
CGAGCGGUAACAGAUCCAGCUUGCUGGAUGCUGACAAGCGGCGGACGGGUGAGUAAUGCAUAUGAAUCUGCCCGAUAGUGGGGGAUAACCUGGGGAAACCCAGGCUAAUACCGCAUACGUCCUACGGGAGAAAGGGGGCUCCGGCUCCCGCUAUGGGAUGAGCCUAUGUCGGAUUAGCUAGUUGGUGAGGUAACGGCUCACCAAGGCAACGAUCCGUAGCUGGUCUGAGAGGAUGAUCAGCCACAUCGGGACUGAGACACGGCCCGAACUCCUACGGGAGGCAGCAGUGGGGAAUAUUGGACAAUGGGGGAAACCCUGAUCCAGCCAUGCCGCGUGUGUGAAGAAGGCCCUCGGGUUGUAAAGCACUUUCAGCGAGGAAGAACGCCUAACGGUUAAUACCCGCUAGGAAAGACAUCACUCGCAGAAGAAGCACCGGCUAACUCCGUGCCAGCAGCCGCGGUAAUACGGAGGGUGCAAGCGUUAAUCGGAAUUACUGGGCGUAAAGCGCGCGUAGGUGGCUUGAUAAGCCGGUUGUGAAAGCCCCGGGCUCAACCUGGGAACGGCAUCCGGAACUGUCAAGCUAGAGUGCAGGAGAGGAAGGUAGAAUUCCCGGUGUAGCGGUGAAAUGCGUAGAGAUCGGGAGGAAUACCAGUGGCGAAGGCGGCCUUCUGGACUGACGCUGACACUGAGGUGCGAAAGCGUGGGUAGCAACACAGGAUUAGAUACCCUGGUAGUCCACGCCGUAAACGAUGUCGACCAGCCGUUGGGUGCCUAGCGCACUUUGUGGCGAAGUUAACGCGAUAAGUCGACCGCCUGGGGAGUACGGCCGCAAGGUUAAAACUCAAAUGAAUUGACGGGGCCCCGCACAAGCGGUGGAGCAUGUGGUUUAAUUCGAUGCAACGCGAAGAACCUUACCUACUCUUGACAUCCUGCGAAUUUGGUAGAGAUACCUUAGUGCCUUCGGGAACGCAGAGACAGGUGCUGCAUGGCUGUCGUCAGCUCGUGUUGUGAAAUGUUGGGUUAAGUCCCGUAACGAGCGCAACCCUUGUCCUUAUUUGCCAGCGCGUAAUGGCGGGAACUCUAAGGAGACUGCCGGUGACAAACCGGAGGAAGGUGGGGACGACGUCAAGUCAUCAUGGCCCUUACGAGUAGGGUUACACACGUGCUACAAUGGUCGGUACAAAGG